AGAUAUCCGAUCAUCCUUGUCCUUCAGCUGAGCCGUAAGAACUUCUGGAUCAACAUACGCAUGUGGUGCAGAAGAAGGAGCAGCCGACCGGGAGCGACGACCCAAACCGACCAAACGUCCCUUUUUCUUUGGAACCGACUGAAAUAUAAAUAAAACGAAGUUAAGAUAAUUUAAAUUGAUGAUAAAAUAAAAAUCAAGAAAUAAUUAAAUUGAACUUUAAAAAAAAAAAACUUACCGAUUCAACGAUUUCGUUGAUUCGAACCCGAGACAAGUUGGUCGAGGCCGUCGAAUCGUCAUCAUCGGUUUGAAGCUGAGACACUUCGUCAUACACCUGAGUCUGGACCAGGUCGACCACGUCCCUCACAAGACCAUCAUCAAUCUGGCCGGUCUUCUUGUUGGUAUACGCCCUUUUCAUAAGGGCGAGAUCAUCAACUGGGUGGCCUUCAUUUUCUUCCGCCUUGAAAAAAAAUAAAUUAGACAAACAUUAGAGAUUUGAAAAUGCAAAAAAAAUAAAAUUCUGAAACUUAAAUAAUUGAAGAAAAAGCGGUUGAGCUUACCAUGCGAUCCGCCAGAGUGGCAAUAGAUUGAGC
RNAcentral lists this long non-coding RNA (590 nucleotides) under Brassica rapa (field mustard). Its description in RNAcentral is "long non-coding RNA (BRAP_LNC003773)". The record is from RNAcentral. Lineage: Eukaryota; Viridiplantae; Streptophyta; Magnoliopsida; Brassicales; Brassicaceae.